AGUGAACGCUGGCGGUAGGCCUAACACAUGCAAGUCGAACGGCAGCACAGUAAGAGCUUGCUCUUACGGGUGGCGAGUGGCGGACGGGUGAGGAAUACAUCGGAAUCUACUUUUUCGUGGGGGAUAACGUAGGGAAACUUACGCUAAUACCGCAUACGACCUACGGGUGAAAGCAGGGGAUCUUCGGACCUUGCGCGAUUGAAUGAGCCGAUGUCGGAUUAGCUAGUUGGCGGGGUAAAGGCCCACCAAGGCGACGAUCCGUAGCUGGUCUGAGAGGAUGAUCGGCCACACUGGAACUGAGACACGGUCCAGGCGCCUACGGGAGGCAGCAGUGGGGAAUAUUGGACAAUGGGCGCAAGCCUGGUCCAGCCAUACCGCGUGGGUGAAGAAGGCCUUCGGGUUGUAAAGCCCUUUUGUUGGGAAAGAAAAGCAGCAGGUUAAUACCCCGCUGUUCUGACGGUACCCAAAGAAUAAGCACCGGCUAACUUCGUG
RNAcentral lists this ribosomal RNA (492 nucleotides) under uncultured bacterium. RNAcentral describes it as "partial 16S ribosomal RNA". It matches the Rfam family "Bacterial small subunit ribosomal RNA", at positions 29 to 507 of the family's 1533-position model. The record is from RNAcentral.